This is a long non-coding RNA of Coffea arabica (coffee), 1746 nucleotides long. RefSeq lists it as uncharacterized. The record is from RefSeq and is a predicted model, not a curated record. Lineage: Eukaryota; Viridiplantae; Streptophyta; Magnoliopsida; Gentianales; Rubiaceae.
CUGGGGGAAAUUUUUGGCUGAAGAGGCCAGGUGUCUAGGACACCUGGAGGAGAGGAUGAAUCUAGAAGGGGUCGGCUAGGUUUUAGCUGAGAAGGAGAUUGAGAGAGGGUAAGAAGAAAAAAGGCCGAGAGUGGUGUCGAAAGAGCAAAAACAGAGGAUAGGAAAAAACAGCAGGGGAGGCUUACGGCGGCUAAAUUUUUUUGGGCGGACAUAGAAAUACAGGGGAUGUCUGCGGAGGCUUUUGGGCGAAGAAAAAAAACAAAGAAAGAACGAGGGGAACGGAGAGAAGAAAAAGAACCGAGAAAGCUCUCGGCUAAGAAGGAGAGCUAAAAAAAGCAAAAAAGAAAAGAGAAACCAGAGAAAAAGAGGGGCGGCGGACAAGGAACUUCAUGGGAAGAAAAGGGGAGCUUCGUGAAGGCGAAAAAUGCAAGGCUGCAAUCUGGGGAGGAAGAAACCAGAAAACUAAUCGGAAAAAGAAAUGGGGGGCUUAAACUUGAAUCAUCCGAUGAAAGAAAAUUCUCCAACCACCACUGUAAAAUUCCCCCCUAUCUCAACCGGCUGCUACCACUCGCUCUCUACCAUCCUUCUUCGAAUUCCCCCAAUUUCCCAAGAUAAUUCCCGUUUCCAACGCAAGCCCUUCACGCUGUCUGCUCAAACCACCACUAGUCCGCAUCUCACUGCCAUUGCUGUCUGCCAUCACUACUUUCUACCGCCCCGCCGCCACCUUUCAACUUCCGCUGCCAUUGUUGCCAUCGCAACCGUCGGAAUAGCAGGGGUUCUCUCUGCCCCUUUACAAAACCGACUGCCCAUCCAACACUUCCACCGCUUGCCCAAGAACCGGAGCCUCCCCUUCGCUUGAACCCGCCGCUGCUGUCCAUGAAUUGUCGCCGUAAGAAACCGUUGUAAGGAAUUGUGGCUGAAAUUUGGAAUCUGGAGGAGGAAUUUCAGGCAGAAAAAUGGGGCGGAGGAAUUGCUGAUUGCCGUAGCGCUGGAACCCACCACCUUACCGUCAAUCCUUCACUGCCACCAGCAGAUUUUCACCCAGGAAAUGAGAUUCAUUCGAGCAGAAACUAGCUACAAUUUUGUGUGCCCGUUUGGUAUUCGAUGAAAUACCCGACUGAAUGUUAUGCCCGGAAAAUGACUGGUCUGCGUUUGUGCAUGUGAAGAAACAAAUGGACAGCAAUUUCAAUGCUUUUCAGAACAUAAUAGUUGAUUUCAAGGGUAGAAAGAAGAAUUUUGAUCCUGAUAUGUUAGCAUGCGACACUGUCUUUGUUUUCCGUUUCUGGUUCUGCCUUUUCCCUUUGUAUGGAUAUGAAUUAAUGGCCUGAAAUUUGUAUAAGAGGGAGCUUGCGAAUUGCACCUUGGAGAGUUGUCGGAAUAGAAUUUUCUGGUAUUCACGCGUAGACAAAGCAAGAUGAAAACAGCCGGAUGCUGGGACUUGUUUUGGAGAAGACGAUUGUUUGUACAAAUUCUGCGAUUUCAGUCCCCCCAUUUCCCAUUUCUUUGUAAUUUAACCCCAAAGAAGUCUCGGAACUUCAUAUUUGCCCCCCAAAGCUAUUGUAAUUCCUUCAAUUGGAUCCCUGUUUUGUUGCAUAUGAACCCCUCGAGUUCCCCCCUGUUCUGAUGUGACCCCAAAAAUUGGAAAAGCUGAACUAAUUUCAUUCUUUUGAGCUUAGUCCUCUGUUUGCAUAUUUUAUAUGGUUUUCUGGACAGAUUAAUUCUGGAAUUUAGACCAUAAUUGUGGUU